RNAcentral lists this ribosomal RNA (354 nucleotides) under Providencia rettgeri. Its description in RNAcentral is "partial 23S ribosomal RNA". It matches the Rfam family "Bacterial large subunit ribosomal RNA", at positions 1783 to 2136 of the family's 2925-position model. Lineage: Bacteria; Pseudomonadati; Pseudomonadota; Gammaproteobacteria; Enterobacterales; Morganellaceae. RNAcentral also lists the same sequence under 1 other name. The record is from RNAcentral.
ACCAGCUGGCUGCAACUGUUUAUUAAAAACACAGCACUGUGCAAACACGAAAGUGGACGUAUACGGUGUGACGCCUGCCCGGUGCUGGAAGGUUAAUUGAUGGGGUUAUCCGUAAGGAGAAGCUCUUGAUCGAAGCCCCAGUAAACGGCGGCCGUAACUAUAACGGUCCUAAGGUAGCGAAAUUCCUUGUCGGGUAAGUUCCGACCUGCACGAAUGGCGUAAUGAUGGCCAGGCUGUCUCCACCCGAGACUCAGUGAAAUUGAACUCGCUGUGAAGAUGCAGUGUACCCGCGGCAAGACGGAAAGACCCCGUGAACCUUUACUAUAGCUUGACACUGAACAUUGAGCCUUGAUG